Molecule: ribosomal RNA, 497 nt
Filed under: uncultured bacterium
Lineage: Bacteria
Description: partial 16S ribosomal RNA
Rfam family: Bacterial small subunit ribosomal RNA
Source: RNAcentral
GAUGAACGCUGGCGGCGUGCCUAAUACAUGCAAGUCGAGCGAACAGAUGAGGAGCUUGCUCCUCUGACGUUAGCGGCGGACGGGCGAGUAACACGUGGAUAACCUACCUAUAAGACUGGGAUAACUUCGGGAAACCGGAGCUAAUACCGGAUAAUAUAUUGAACCGCAUGGUUCAAUAGUGAAAGACGGUUUUGCUGUCACUUAUAGAUGGAUCCGCGCCGCAUUAGCUAGUUGGUAAGGUAACGGCUUACCAAGGCAACGAUGCGUAGCCGACCUGAGAGGGCGAUCGGCCACACUGGAACUGAGACACGGUCCAGACUCCUACGGGAGGCAGCAGUAGGGAAUCUUCCGCAAUGGGCGAAAGCCUGACGGAGCAACGCCGCGUGAGUGAUGAAGGUCUUCGGAUCGUAAAACUCUGUUAUUAGGGAAGAACAAAUGUGUAAGUAACUAUGCACGUCUUGACGGUACCUAAUCAGAAAGCCACGGCUAACUACGUG